CCUGGUGGCUCAGACAGUAAAGUAUCUGCUUGCAAUGCAGGAGACCUGGGUUCAAUCCCUGGGUCAGGA
This 69-nucleotide transfer RNA is filed under the name Bos taurus (domestic cattle). It matches the Rfam family "tRNA". From Rfam's summary of the family: Transfer RNA (tRNA) molecules are approximately 80 nucleotides in length. RNAcentral also lists the same sequence under 4 other names. The record is from Rfam by way of RNAcentral. Lineage: Eukaryota; Metazoa; Chordata; Mammalia; Artiodactyla; Bovidae.